CAAAGCUGGGGACAGAAGAGCUGGAAGGACAUUCCAGAAGGGAGAACAGACUGGGAAAAGGCCCCGAGAGUGAAAGAGUGUGAUUUGAUCCUAGAAAAACAUCUGCCAUGGCCAUGCUUGAGCUCUGUGCGGAGACGUGGUAGAUGAUGGAACUGGGGAAGGUGACGGGGCUUGAAUGCCAGGCAAAGGUGCUGGGACUCUGUCCUCUAGGACAAGAAGAGAAACUUCAUCAGCGUGUGUCCCGGAGUGAGGACGUUUGGAGCAGGAGCACUCACUGCCACCUGUGAUGGGCAUGAAGCUAGCAUCCAUGACCAGACUUUUGUGCUGUUGCACCAUUACAAAAUGAGCACAGGAGGGUGGACGGGAGCUCUCUGUACCCUCCACUUAAUUUUGCUGUGAACCUAAAAC
Molecule: long non-coding RNA, 408 nt
Filed under: Homo sapiens (human)
Lineage: Eukaryota; Metazoa; Chordata; Mammalia; Primates; Hominidae
Description: non-protein coding lnc-ANKRD9-2:1
Source: RNAcentral